This 550-nucleotide ribosomal RNA is filed under the name uncultured bacterium. RNAcentral's name for it is "bacterial SSU rRNA". It matches the Rfam family "Bacterial small subunit ribosomal RNA", at positions 355 to 896 of the family's 1533-position model. The record is from RNAcentral.
UAGGGAAUCUUCCGCAAUGGACGCAAGUCUGACGGAGCAACGCCGCGUGAGUGAAGAAGGUUUUCGGAUCGUAAAACUCUGUUGUUAGAGAAGAACAAGUGCUAGAGUAACUGUUAGCGCCUUGACGGUAUCUAACCAGAAAGCCACGGCUAACUACGUGCCAGCAGCCGCGGUAAUACGUAGGUGGCAAGCGUUGUCCGGAUUUAUUGGGCGUAAAGCGAGCGCAGGCGGUUCCUUAAGUCUGAUGUGAAAGCCCCCGGCUCAACCGGGGAGGGUCAUUGGAAACUGGGGAACUUGAGUGCAGAAGAGGAGAGUGGAAUUCCAUGUGUAGCGGUGAAAUGCGUAGAUAUAUGGAGGAACACCAGUGGCGAAAGCGGCUCUCUGGUCUGUAACUGACGCUGAGGCUCGAAAGCGUGGGGAGCGAACAGGAUUAGAUACCCUGGUAGUCCACGCCGUAAACGAUGAGUGCUAGGUGUUAGGUCCUUUCCGGGACUUAGUGCCGCAGCUAACGCAUUAAGCACUCCGCCUGGGGAGUACGACCGCAAGGUUG